CGAUUCUGGCUCAGGAUGAACGCUAGCUACAGGCUUAACACAUGCAAGUCGAGGGGCAGCAUUGGAGUAGCAAUACUCAGAUGGCGACCGGCGCACGGGUGAGUAACACGUAUCCAACCUGCCGCUUACUCGGGGAUAGCCUUUCGAAAGAAAGAUUAAUACCCGAUGGUAUAAAGAGUUCGCAUGUUCUCUUUAUUAAAGAAUUUCGGUAAGCGAUGGGGAUGCGUUCCAUUAGAUAGUUGGCGGGGUAACGGCCCACCGAGUCUACGAUGGAUAGGGGUUCUGAGAGGAAGGUCCCCCACAUUGGAGCUGAGACACGGUCCAAACUCCUACGGGAGGCAGCAGUGAGGAAUAUUGGUCAAUGGACGAGAGUCUGAACCAGCCAAAAGUAGCGUGAAGGAUGACUGCCCUAUGGGUUGUAAACUUCUUUUAUAAGGGAAUAAAGUGAGGGACGUGUCCCUUUUUGUAUGUACCUUAUGAAUAAGGAUCGGCUAACUCCGUGCCAGCCGCGGC
Molecule: ribosomal RNA, 513 nt
Filed under: uncultured bacterium
Lineage: Bacteria
Description: bacterial SSU rRNA
Rfam family: Bacterial small subunit ribosomal RNA
Source: RNAcentral